This 204-nucleotide long non-coding RNA is filed under the name Elaeis guineensis (African oil palm). RNAcentral describes it as "long non-coding RNA (EGUI_LNC057479)". The record is from RNAcentral. Lineage: Eukaryota; Viridiplantae; Streptophyta; Magnoliopsida; Arecales; Arecaceae.
AACUAAAAUUUAAUAUAAAUUUUAGGAGUUAAUUUGAUAUACUAGCACAUUGUAUUAACUCAAGUUCCUAAUUAGAUUCAGUUCAAAGCGUUUGAGCUAAACUAGACCAGUUGCCUUUGACCUAAUGGGAUUAGAUCUAAUUUAAUUUGAUUCUUAUCCAACUUAGAAGUAUUUUAAAUAUGGAAGGAGUCCUCUGUGCCCACC